GUGGAGUUCAGCCCAGCCAGUCUGGUAGGAGCACAGUCGUCCGGACUGUGUCUAUGGUCGCUCCGCGGGCCGCUUUGCUGGCUGGUGCAUUUGUAUCAGGGCAAGCAGUAUUAUUCCAUGGCAGGGAACUUCUGGCAGAGCUCCCACUAGUAAGUGAGCUUCCAUUUUCUCGCCUGGGGCCGGGGCUGGGGCACAGGAGGGCUGGGCCUGCCCAUCCCUCGGGGUUUCCAUCCUGGCCGCUGCGGGUGAGCCCUCCCUGGGAAGCCGGGGGUCCGAAACGUGAUGCUGUCGUUUGCGAGCCUCCCCUCUUCUCACAGAGAGAUUUCGGGAGCAGAGGGGAGGUGAGCUCGAAGGAUGGGUAAGAGGUAAGGGGUUUGAUCUCCGGGAAGGGAGUCGGAGGCGGUUUCAUUUCAAAUUUGGGGUUUGAUUGGUGGGAUGAUGUGGGCACCGGCAAGGGAAAGAGUGACCCAUUGUAGCUCUGUGAGGUUCCCUGCUUUGGAUGGACAUGGUUGGCUAUUGCUAGCUAGCUUGUUUGUUUGUUUGUUUUUUCAUAGCAGUGAUAUUAUAAUCUCUUGUCAUUCGCCUUACUGUAGAUUUAAUAUUUACUCAGAGGAGAGGAGUGAGUCGUGCUUGUUUCUACCUGCUGCUUCCUGGCCCAGCCUUAUGCCUAGAUUGACACCACUACCCCCAUCCCCGAAGCAGUGUUUCUCACGUUGAGGGAUGGCUGCCCUAAAACUCACAGGCUGGCAUCGAACUUAAUGAAAUCUGCCUGCCUCUGCUUCUGCUUCUAAGUGUUGGAAUUAAAGGCAUGAGCCACCAAUUGCAGGCUCCUAAAUUGACUUUAAUGCUUCUAGAAUUUGCGAGCACAGGGGCUCUCAAAAUAUAUCCAUUUUCAUUCAUUAGCCAGUGUCUUAUAUUUUGCCUUAAAGUCGUGUAUUUCCCAGAUUUUGUCCUCUUCCUUUAACCACUUAAAUCACUAAAUUUUAAUGUCUUUCAGUGACCAUGGAAGGGCUAAAGUAAUCUUAAAGAUAUUUGUCUCUAAAUACAUUUGGUUAAACAUGCAGGAAGUUGUAUGCUUGGGCUAAGCGUUGAGCAGGCUUUCCACUAAAUACAUAAAAAAUGAACAGGACUAGAUAGAGACAUUUAGUUUAAUUAAAUUUUAGUGGGAAGAGAAUAACAAAAUUUUAAUUCUGUGAAUUGGUUUGCUUGUUUCCCUCUUUGCCUGAGAAUAAAGAAGAAGAAGGGGG
RNAcentral lists this long non-coding RNA (1247 nucleotides) under Mus musculus (house mouse). RNAcentral describes it as "long non-coding RNA chr4:21727766-21729013". Lineage: Eukaryota; Metazoa; Chordata; Mammalia; Rodentia; Muridae. The record is from RNAcentral.